AUUGAACGCUGGCGGCAUGCCUUACACAUGCAAGUCGAACGGCAGCACGGGUGCUUGCCCCUGGUGGCGAGUGGCGAACGGGUGAGUAAUACAUCGGAACAUGUCCUGUAGUGGGGGAUAGCCCGGCGAAAGCCGGAUUAAUACCGCAUACGAUCUACGGAUGAAAGCGGGGGACCUUCGGGCCUCGCGCUAUGGGGUUGGCCGAUGGCUGAUUAGCUAGUUGGUGGGGUAAAGGCCUACCAAGGCGACGAUCAGUAGCUGGUCUGAGAGGACGACCAGCCACACUGGGACUGAGACACGGCCCAGACUCCUACGGGAGGCAGCAGUGGGGAAUUUUGGACAAUGGGCGAAAGCCUGAUCGAGCAAUGCCGCGUGUGUGAAGAAGGCCUUCGGGUUGUAAAGCACUGUUGUCCGGAAAGAAAACCUUGGUCCUAAUACGGGCGGGGGAUGACGGUACCGGAAGAAUAAGCACCGGCUAACUACGUG
RNAcentral lists this ribosomal RNA (486 nucleotides) under uncultured bacterium. RNAcentral's name for it is "partial 16S ribosomal RNA". It matches the Rfam family "Bacterial small subunit ribosomal RNA", at positions 29 to 507 of the family's 1533-position model. The record is from RNAcentral.